AUCCCCCAUUGCCGUUCCCAUUCAUCAACAUCAAACCAUUUGCUUAAAUAUCCCCACCCCCACCCAAAAUCAAAUCAUUCUUCCUUACGCCUUAAGAUUAAGACCCCCAUAAUACCCACUCUCUCUUUCUCUCUCUCCCUCUCCCCCCCUCCCCUACUCAAACCUGUGUUGUGUGACCCCAUCCAAUCCAUCCAUCUACCAUACCACUGUCCCAAAUCUUGGGACGACUGCAUGUAACCAAGAUUCAUGAGAGACAACACACACCAAUUACAACUACUGAUUCAGCUUCAUUUCAAGAAAAAAAGAUUCCAUCUUUUUUCUUUUUUACUGUUCCAAAAUCCUCACAACUGUUUCUCUCUUCCGUACUGCUUUUCUUGUGACCUCUGAGUGGAAACUUCCAAGUCAAGAGGAAGAGAUAUAAAGAGGGAGAUUGAAAGAGCAGGCAUUUCAACAGUUCCCGUGAGUUAUGGGCUGCUGUGCGUCGAAAUUUCCACCAACCGAGACGCACCCGGAGAAGGAAAAGUCCCAAAACCACGGCCCAGCUUCACUUUUAAGCGCCCGAACCCCACCUCCGCCUCCCGCCGGCGUCCCAGCAGACCCCGGUGUAAUUCCAUCUUUUGCUGAGUUUUCCUUGGCCGACCUCAAAACUGCUACAAAUAGCUUCACCCCGGAUUUUAUAGUCUCAGAAAGCGGUGAAAAAGCCCCUAAUGUUGUUUACAAAGGACGCCUUCACAACCGCCGGUGGAUUGCCGUCAAGAAGUUUCCAAAGUUGGCCUGGCCGGACCCCAAACAGUUUGCGGAGGAAGCUUGGGCUGUUGGGAAGUUGAGGCAUCCGAGACUGGCAAAUUUAAUAGGGUAUUGCUGUGAUGGUGAUGAGAGGUUGUUGGUUGCAGAGUACAUGCCUAAUGAUACUCUUGCUAAGCAUUUGUUUCACUGGGAAAGACAGACCAUUGAAUGGGCGAUGCGCUUGAGAGUAGCUCUUUAUAUAGCUGAAGCCUUAGAAUAUUGCAGCAGUGAAGGCCAUGCCUUGUACCAUGACCUCAAUGCCUACAGGGUUCUCUUUGAUGAGGACGGUGAUCCUCGGCUUUCAUGCUUCGGGCUUAUGAAAAAUAGUCGAGAUGGGAAGAGUUAUAGCACAAAUCUUGCCUACACUCCCCCUGAAUAUUUGAAAAAUGGCAGGGUAACCCAGGAAAGUGUCAUAUACAGCUUCGGUACUGUCCUGUUGGAUCUGCUGAGUGGAAAACACAUACCUCCAAGUCAUGCUCUUGAUAUGAUACGUGGUAAAAACAUUAUACUUUUGAUGGAUUCACAUUUGGAGGGGAAGUUUUCUACUGAAGAAGCAACAGUAGUUGUUGGUCUUGCCUCUCAAUGUUUGCAAUAUGAACCUAGGGAGAGGCCUAAUAUAAAGGAUCUUGUAGCUACUCUUUCUCCAUUACAGCCAAAAUCAGAUGUUCCUUCUUAUGUCAUGCUUGGAAUUUCUAAGCAUGAAGAAGCUCCUCCAAUGCCACAGCGCCCCCUUUCACCAAUGGGUGAGGCCUGUUCCCGGAUGGACCUUACAGCAAUACACCAAAUUUUGGUUACCACGCACUACCGAGAUGAUGAAGGAACCAAUGAGUUAUCAUUCCAAGAAUGGACACAACAGAUGAGAGAGAUGUUGGAUGCUAGGAAGCGUGGGGAUUAUGCAUUUCGCGACAAGGACUUUAAGGCUGCUAUAGAUUGUUAUUCUCAGUUUAUAGAUGUCGGAACUAUGGUUUCUCCCACUGUUUAUGCUCGGCGCAGUCUAUGUUAUCUUAUGUGUGAUCAACCUGAUGUUGCACUUCGAGAUGCAAUGCAAGCACAAAUUGUCUAUCCAGACUGGCCCACAGCUUUCUACAUGCAGUCAGUUGCACUUGCCAAACUGGACAUGCACCAGGAUGCUGCUGACAUGUUGAAGGAGGCUGCUGGACUAGAAGAAAAGAGGCAAAAAGGUGGGAGGGGAUCAUAAGAGCGGAUCCUUUGAUCAUGGAUUAUUCAUUCAAUGCGAUCUUCCCAAAGUUGUAAAUCUGAACGAGAACUUUGCCAGUGAUGAUAUGAGCAGUGUUGACCCUAAUGUUUGUUUCUCCGGCAAGCUUGCUGAAAGGAGAAAACGAUGAGAAAUUUGUUUCAGGACACGUCGGUACCAUCCUUGCUUUUGGAGAACAGAAAGCUAUUGAAAAUGAAAGACCGGCGCAAAUCUAUAUUGAGGCCUUCAUCCUUGUCAUGGAUGCGUAUAAUUGUGCGGAUGAUUUGCUGCUUUUGUCACGUACACAGCAAGUUUUCGCCCAAGAAUGUCAAGAAAAACGGGUUGAAGAAGUAUUUGAUGGAUCUCAGGCUUGUGGAUGCAUGUGUCAGUGUGUCACAGCCAAAUAUCUGCUUUUCCAUGCAAAGCAAGAUGUGCUGGCGAAAAUGAGAUGCUGGGGAUCUUUGUGGGUUCUUGUCCUAGAAAAAGAAAGCACUUGCGGGUUCUUGUCCUAGAGAAAGAAAGCACCAAAGAUGAUACAGAAGGCCAGAAAAAAAAAUUAUCAGCAGUUUCAAGAUACCAAUGUCUUGUAGGAGAGGACAAUGACUGACCAAAUCAUUACGGAUAUAUGAAGAGAUACUUGUAAUAUCACACGCUUUCAGCAAUGGAAAAGUGGUGCCUUUUGUCUUUUCUACAUCCACAA
This is an RNA transcript of Sesamum indicum (sesame), 2681 nucleotides long. It is a transcript of the gene named BR-signaling kinase 1, with no coding region annotated. Lineage: Eukaryota; Viridiplantae; Streptophyta; Magnoliopsida; Lamiales; Pedaliaceae. The record is from RefSeq and is a predicted model, not a curated record.